AAAACGGCCCUUUUCAGGGCCACCACAUCUAAACGAUGCCACGCAGU
Molecule: non-coding RNA, 47 nt
Organism: Macrostomum lignano
Lineage: Eukaryota; Metazoa; Platyhelminthes; Macrostomidae
Source: Rfam